UACGUAGGGGCUAGCGUUAUCCGGAUUUACUGGGCGUAAAGGGUGCGUAGGUGGUUUCUUAAGUCAGAGGUGAAAGGCUACGGCUCAACCGUAGUAAGCCUUUGAAACUGGGAAACUUGAGUGCAGGAGAGGAGAGUGGAAUUCCUAGUGUAGCGGUGAAAUGCGUAGAUAUUAGGAGGAACACCAGUUGCGAAGGCGGCUCUCUGGACUGUAACUGACACUGAGGCACGAAAGCGUGGGGAGCAAACAGGAUUAGAUACCCCUGUAGUCCCUGAG
Molecule: ribosomal RNA, 276 nt
Filed under: uncultured prokaryote
Description: partial 16S ribosomal RNA
Rfam family: Bacterial small subunit ribosomal RNA
Source: RNAcentral